GACGAACGCUGGCGGCGUGCUUAACACAUGCAAGUCGAACGGAAAGGCCCUGCUUUUGUGGGGUGCUCGAGUGGCGAACGGGUGAGUAACACGUGAGUAACCUGCCCUUGACUUUGGGAUAACUUCAGGAAACUGGGGCUAAUACCGGAUAGUAGCUCCUGCUGCAUGGUGGGGGUUGGAAAGUGUCGGCGGUUGGGGAUGGACUCGCGGCUUAUCAGCUUGUUGGUGGGGUAGUGGCUUACCAAGGCUUUGACGGGUAGCCGGCCUGAGAGGGUGACCGGCCACAUUGGGACUGAGAUACGGCCCAGACUCCUACGGGAGGCAGCAGUGGGGAAUAUUGCACAAUGGGCGGAAGCCUGAUGCAGCAACGCCGCGUGCGGGAUGACGGCCUUCGGGUUGUAAACCGCUUUCGCCUGUGACGAAGCGUGAGUGACGGUAAUGGGUAAAGAAGCACCGGCUAACUACGUG
RNAcentral lists this ribosomal RNA (468 nucleotides) under uncultured bacterium. Its description in RNAcentral is "partial 16S ribosomal RNA". It matches the Rfam family "Bacterial small subunit ribosomal RNA", at positions 28 to 507 of the family's 1533-position model. The record is from RNAcentral.